Molecule: long non-coding RNA, 1468 nt
Organism: Acinonyx jubatus (cheetah)
Lineage: Eukaryota; Metazoa; Chordata; Mammalia; Carnivora; Felidae
Exons: 3
Source: RefSeq, a predicted model, not a curated record
CUCCGUGAAUGGUGGCUGUCGCUAUCACGUGGACUACAAGGGGGGGUUGGAAGAAGGUGUCAGACAGCCAGAUUCAAGUCCUAAUUCUGCCACGUACAGGCAUGCUGUGUCUGCUCCAGGGCCGUGUUUUCCUCGUCUCUAGAAGACAGAGAAUGAAUCCUGGCUCGCCCACCUGCAGGACAGCGUCGGGGACCCAGGAGCCCAGGGAUGGCGUCCACCUUGGCUGCACAUCACGGCCACCCAAGUUGCUCAACAACUACUCAGUGCCGGGGAUCCACCUGCCUCCGAUUGGCUCGGUCAGGAUUUGGGUGGCUGGGACCCAGGCGGAUGUGUUUCUUACACAUUUUGGGUGAGUUUAACGUGCUCCCGGGUUGUGAGUCACCGGGAUGAAGAUGUACCCCUGUUUUCUAAAUCGGAGAACCCUGUGCACACGCGGGGGUCAGGCAGGAGGGCCCCCCUCCUGGUCCUGCUCCUGUGGGGCAGAGAAUUCUUGGGGCCACCAUUCGUUCCUCUGCCGUGGGGUCGGGAGGCUUCAGCUUCUUUGAUUCCCUUUCAACACUUCCCAGGAUUCUGUCGCAUCUGAAGAGGGAAGCAGGGUGCUGGCAGUAACCGGGGCAUGCUGACUUUAACCUUUAAAAAAACAAGCUUUAUGGUGAAGACCAAAAGGUCUUAUAAACCUUAAUGAGCGGCAUAUGUGAAACACAUACGUGAAUUGCUUGUUUGAAAAAUAUUUCCCGGCUAGCCUUCAAUAGCAUAGCCUUAUUAUUCUAAACGGGGAGCUUGUCUUACCAGAGGACCGAACAAAACCCCAGUUGGAGAUAAUUAUCUUAGCAGAAUUCCCCGUGGGUCCCUGGGGAGGGGAUGGGGCGGGAGCCUCUGGAACACAUGUGCUAACUUAGGCCGCCUUUGUCUACACAACAAACACAAAAGCUGGGCUCUCGGCAGCGAGGAGAAUUCCAGCUCCCGAAACGGUGACCUCAAGACUCACUCCGCGGAUGGCGAAUAGCUUAAUAUCACCUGGGGAGAGCAUACACCCCACAUCAACUGGAGGCAAGAGAGGACAUUGAUUGGAAGGUCCCAUUUGGUUUGUGUAGCAACUGUCUUCAGAAGGCCCAGGAGAAGACAAGAGCAGCCACCCACAGAGGACAGCUUGGUAAAUGGUCACUCACUCUGGAUGAAGCUAUGUUGUGAGCAGCCCUAUGGAGAGGCCCCUAAGGCAAGGAACUGAGGUCUCUUGCCCACAGCUGUGUGAGGCUGUCAUCUUGGAAGUGGACCCUUCAGCCCUGGCCAAGCUUUCAGAGUCGGCAGCCCCAGCAGACAGUCUGACUGUGACCUCAUGAGAGACCCUGAGCUGGAACCAUCCAGCUGAGCCAGUCCUAGAUUCCUCACCCAGAGACACUGUGAGAUAAUAAAUGUAUGUUGCUGUAAGCCAGUAAAUUCUGGGCUGCAAAACUGUUCCUCAGCAUUA